Molecule: long non-coding RNA, 162 nt
Organism: Strigops habroptila (Kakapo)
Lineage: Eukaryota; Metazoa; Chordata; Aves; Psittaciformes; Psittacidae
Exons: 3
Source: RefSeq, a predicted model, not a curated record
GCGCAGCAGCGAAGCCCGGCGCGGCCGCCAUCUCAGUGCGGCGGUGCAGCCGGCACUGCGGGUUGGGAUUUUCGGCGCAGCACGGAGCAGCCGCAGCCGCCCAGCUAAUCCGGCACCCGUCACGUGCUAUCGGAGGAGGGGGGGAGAAAAGGGGGAAGAAGG